AAAAGUCGUAACAAGGUAACCGUAGGUGAACCUGCGGUUGGAUCAUUACAAAAUGAUUUCCUGUGUGUUGAGACUUCGGUCUCCACCAGGCAACAACCCUUUGUGCACUGUAUUGUUUUUUGGGUGACGCUUAGCAAUAGGCAUUGCCCAGCAUUAUUAAACCUCUUAAUCUUUGACUGAACUAUAAUGUAAAUUAUAAACAACUUUUGACAAUGGAUCUCUUGGCUCUCG
This 231-nucleotide unclassified non-coding RNA is filed under the name fungal sp. RNAcentral describes it as "partial internal transcribed spacer region". The stretch from base 1 to 48 matches the Rfam family "Eukaryotic small subunit ribosomal RNA", at positions 1784 to 1831 of the family's 1831-position model. Lineage: Eukaryota; Fungi. The record is from RNAcentral.